AACGAACGCUGGCGGCAUGCCUAACACAUGCAAGUCGAACGAGACCUUCGGGUCUAGUGGCGCACGGGUGCGUAACGCGUGGGAACCUGCCUUUAGGUUCGGAAUAACUCAGAGAAAUUUGAGCUAAUACCGGAUAAUGUCUUCGGACCAAAGAUUUAUCGCCUUUAGAUGGGCCCGCGUUGGAUUAGCUAGUUGGUGGGGUAAAGGCCUACCAAGGCGACGAUCCAUAGCUGGUCUGAGAGGAUGAUCAGCCACACUGGGACUGAGACACGGCCCAGACUCCUACGGGAGGCAGCAGUGGGGAAUAUUGGACAAUGGGCGAAAGCCUGAUCCAGCAAUGCCGCGUGAGUGAUGAAGGCCUUAGGGUUGUAAAGCACUUUAAGCGGGGAGGAAGGCUCUAUGGCUAAUAUCCAUGGGGAUUGACGUUACCCGCAGAAUAAGCACCGGCAAACUUCGUGCCAGCAGCCGCGGUAAU
RNAcentral lists this ribosomal RNA (475 nucleotides) under uncultured bacterium. RNAcentral's name for it is "bacterial SSU rRNA". It matches the Rfam family "Bacterial small subunit ribosomal RNA", at positions 29 to 524 of the family's 1533-position model. The record is from RNAcentral.